RNA transcript from Bolinopsis microptera, 3135 nucleotides. It is a transcript of the gene named LIM/homeobox protein Lhx3-like, with no coding region annotated. The transcript has 17 exons. The record is from RefSeq and is a predicted model, not a curated record. NCBI's taxonomy places the organism in Eukaryota, Metazoa, Ctenophora, Tentaculata, Lobata, Bolinopsidae.
GGAAACACAGCCUCUUGCUCCGGGCUCUCGCUUGAGCUGAUUGACUCGCGCAGCAGCUGUAUUAUAUACCACUGUAAUAGGCUUUAGAUUUUGAUUUUCAGCACGUCUAUCUCUCUCUCUCUUGAUCAUCAUGCAGCAAGACCCUCCCCGGUCUCUCCAAGACAACUCAAUCCUAUGCAAACCUGAACCUCUAGCCCCAGCCUCCAACAUAAACCAAGGACAGUCCCCGAACUCCGGAGGUGACACAGUAAACUCAGUACAUCCGGUUAUCCCGGACCUGACAUCACAAGAUCCGGACAUGACACCAGCUGCUUCCAUCUCAACUCCUAUGAUGCUCAACUCACCUCCCAAAUCUAUAUCAUUCAGCUCCUCGAUUCCUCCCAUGACGUUGUACGAUGCGGACUCUCUUUCAACGAACGGAAUUUUACAGACAAGUGCGAGUCCAGGGAGUAUGAUAAUAUCACCGCCAAUGGUCUCCUCUAUUCCCUCAUCCACCAUCUUUUCUCCGCUCCCCAUCUCAUAUCCCCCCGUUACGCUAGGUUUACCAGUGGGCUCACAUUCAGGAGGUCCUCUUCUCAGUACAACUCCAAUCUCAACCCUUCCUUCAUCCUUACCUAAUUCAGCUGUAAAGUUUGAGCAGACAUCGUUUCAAUGUGGUGACGUAACAGGUGCAGUUGUUCCCAGAUGCGCGGGUUGCGAUCAACCAAUCACUGACAGGUUUAUCCUAAAAGUAAUGGAAAAGAACUGGCACAGCGCGUGUCUAAAGUGUCACGACUGUCUCGCCCAGCUGACAGACAAGUGUUUCAGUCGAGGCGACUUUGUAUACUGCAAGGACGACUUUUACAAGAGAUACGGAACUAAGUGUGCUAAGUGCGAGAAAGUAAUCCCUCCCAGUCAGGUGGUCCGAAGAGCAGGUGGACAUGUAUUCCACAUGGAUUGUUUCGUUUGUAUAAUCUGUUCGCGGACUCUGAACACUGGCGACGAGUUUUACUUUGUGGAUGACAACCAGUUAGUGUGCCGGUCUGACUAUGAUAACUUUAAAACCCAAUACGCCAAUUGUCCAGAUGAAACGUUCACUGAUGAGCUGGAUCUGGAGAACCAGGGUAUCAAGAGACCCCGAACCACCAUCACCGCUAAACAGCUAGAGACACUGAAGACAGCCUACGAAAACAGUCCGAAACCAGCACGUCACGUGAGAGAACAGCUGAGUUCGGAGACGGGGCUGGACAUGAGGGUGGUACAAGUGUGGUUCCAAAACAGGAGAGCAAAAGAGAAACGAAUGAAGAAGGAAGCGCCCAGGAACCGUUGGGGUCAAUACCUGAAGAACCUACGAAAGAACCGACCACAAGCGCGGCCUGUCCGAGCGGGUCCAGGUACCCCACUUUCAGGAGAUGUUAAGUUAGAGCAGCCAGAGUUUCCUUCGCCCAACUCCUGCUUCCCAGGACCUCCCGGAAAUGAUACAAUGAUGGACAGGAACCAGAUAGCUCCACCCUACCCUGGUUGCCCCAGCCCGAACAGCAUGAUCCGUCUCGGACUUCACACUGGAGACUUCAUGAGAACUUCCGUCUCUAAUCACGCGUUUGUCAACGGCCACAUCAGACCUCCCUUCAUGGGCCCGGCCCAGCCUGCACCCCUCUUCUCCAGCCACUUUCCCGGACACGACGUAGGUAACCUGGGUACCAAUACAGCAGCGUUAGGGACCGCUAUGAGAAUAGCUGCAGGAGAGGAACCCUACACAGAGUUUCCUUCGGCCUGGUUAGGACCAGAAGACAUCGACCAGCGAAUACCUCUCCCUUACUCGGACCAAAAACCUCCCUUUCCUGCAAUGAUCUGAAGGUCUGAUGUCCCCUAGGGAUACCACUGCAAGUGUAUCUUAAUGAAGAUUAACAGGAUUUCAAGAUUCCAGUAUAGUUAACUGUGUCUAUUUGAGACGUGGAGGUAGAAUUGUCCGUCAAAUAAUUCCCCAAAUCUGUUAGAAAGUGAAGAUCUCCACGAAGAUCACGGUCGGCUGACAGAGGCACAUAUUAGGUGCGGUAAAAAAAUCGAAAUUAUGCGGUACCGCACCCGACUAUAAAGGUAAAAUGUGCGGUAAGGUGCGGUAAAUUUUUACCAAUUAUGCGGCAAAUGUGCGACGAUUUUUUCGAAAUUUGUGCGGGAAUUGUGCGGUUUUCAUUUGUAUUUUCUGAAGGACUUUGGAAAUUCUGAACGUAUAACCGCCGCUCUUAUCAAAAAUAGGUCUGUUUAUGUGUUACUGAGGGUGUAGUUCUUUACUAAGUCCAUGAUUGAACCUAUAUUGAGAUCCAGUUAUCUGAGAACAGUGACUUGAUCUGGUAGAGAUCAGGAGACAGUUAUUUGAAGACGCCUCUUGAUAGAGUCGAUCAGAUCCCAAGCGUGAUCGCAAAUAUGUGACACGCUUGUUGGCAUUGAUCGUCAGUACUUGUAAACCAUUUGAUCCAAGAUCCAUUAAGCCCACUAUAAAGCCAACGCUACAACGAAUAGAGCUCAUUACCCGAUAUAAAGGGCUGCAGGUAUGAUCGAAGUACGGUAACGACGAGGGUUCCAUAACGGCCUGGGUCACGGUCCCGAAAGGGCCUGGGUAACGGUCCCGAAAGGGCCUGGGUCAUGGACCGUCAUGGUCCCGAAAGGGCCUGGGUCACGUGGUAACCGGGUCACGUGGCCUAGGCAUGGGUUCCAAAAGGGCCUGGGCAUGGGUCCCGAAAAGGCCUGGGUCACGUGGUAACUGGGUCACGUGGCCUAGGUAUGAGUUCCAAAAGGGCCUGGGUCACGGUCCCGAAAGGGCCUGGGUCAGGGUCCCGAAAGGGCCUGGGUCAGGGUCCCGAAAGGGCCUGGGUCACGUGGCCUAGGUAUGAGUUCCAAAAGGGCCUGGGUCACGGUCCUAAAAGGGCCUGAGUCACGGUCCUAAAAGGGCCCGACUUUUAACAUAUUUUGGUUUUUACACUCGAAAAUCUUAACGCGAAAAUUUCAAAAUUAUGCGAAAUUAAGCGGAAAAUGCUAGAUUAUGCGGAAAUAUGCAGAAAAUUACAAAAUGUGCGGAAAACAAUGAAUUAUGCGGAAAUGUGCGGAAAACGGUAAAUUGUGCGAUCCCGCACCCAUCGCACCUAAUAUGUGCAUCUG